UUUCUCAGAGAUGUCUUAGGAGGUUGGACUGGCAAUGGUGAAGGUUACAGCUGUGCAUGGAGAUCAAAAAUGCUCUAGAGCCUGAAGAGGAUGGGGUUCUGCCACGUCUUGCCUGUGGGGACAGUCAUCUACCCAAGACUCCCGAAUGCCAAGAAUGGAAAAGUACCUGCUAAUGAGCAUAAAAUUCCUCACCUGGGAAAUGAGCGUGCCUUGGGAUUCACUCCACACCCUCCAGCACUGUCUGACUUCUCUACCGUAAUUGUAACAGGAACAGCAGUUUCCAUCUCUCACAGGUCUCAGGUGCGGUGUGCCUCUCCAGCUUUGGCUCCUCAGUGCUGGCGACCCUGACAGGCCUAUUGGAAGA
This 364-nucleotide long non-coding RNA is filed under the name Mus musculus (house mouse). RNAcentral describes it as "predicted gene, 29676". The record is from RNAcentral. Lineage: Eukaryota; Metazoa; Chordata; Mammalia; Rodentia; Muridae.